Molecule: long non-coding RNA, 234 nt
Organism: Coregonus clupeaformis (lake whitefish)
Lineage: Eukaryota; Metazoa; Chordata; Actinopteri; Salmoniformes; Salmonidae
Exons: 3
Source: RefSeq, a predicted model, not a curated record
UCCAGAUUUGGGAAAAAUAAGUUUCACUUUGGUGGGAUUUGAAACUCUCUUGAUUCCUAGAAAGCCCGAGAAGGUGUCAUUCAGGAGAAAGAGGCAGCGACUAGGAAAAGACCAAAUAACUGUCAGCUGUGAGGCCCAGUACGUCAAGAGAGGUGUCUGACCCUGUGAUCGGCCCCUCUGUGAUCCUGUAGUGACUGUGACUGUCUGGCCUCUCUGCUAUCUCUCUGUGUUGAA